UUCAGCAUACUAGCACUCUUAGUACUGAGGUAACAGAUUAGUUCCAGUUAUACUAAACCAGUACAAGGUGACCAAUUUCAACAGGGUAACAAUCGACGGUUUAGGUCAGAUACAAGUACAAUAACCACUAAGUUUCUUCAAUCAAUAUAUCUAGACACUAACAAAAACAAAAGACUAUAACUUCAUUGCCGAAUUCCCUAUGCAAAUACAGCUGAGAACCAUCCUUGGCCUCUUUGCUAGAAAUAUUUUGAAUCAUCAAAACAAGCAACUACUGACUUUUUAGUGGAAAAUGCAGUUUGACGAAAAUAGAAAUUUUCAUCUGACCUGGAUAUUGUAUUAGAGCCUGAACCCCGCCAUUCUUAUCAAACAACACACUUGGAAGAAAAUGGAAAUUUUCAUCUGACCUGGAUAUUGUAUUAGAGCCUGAACCCCACCAUUCUUAUCAAACAUUGC
Molecule: long non-coding RNA, 453 nt
Filed under: Nicotiana benthamiana
Lineage: Eukaryota; Viridiplantae; Streptophyta; Magnoliopsida; Solanales; Solanaceae
Description: long non-coding RNA (NBEN_LNC022164)
Source: RNAcentral